Molecule: transfer RNA, 85 nt
Filed under: Felis catus (domestic cat)
Lineage: Eukaryota; Metazoa; Chordata; Mammalia; Carnivora; Felidae
Rfam family: tRNA
About the family: Transfer RNA (tRNA) molecules are approximately 80 nucleotides in length.
Source: Rfam by way of RNAcentral
GCCUGGGUGGCUCAGUCGGUUGAGUGUCCGACUUCGGCUCAGGUCAUGAUCUCAUGGUUCAUGGGUUCGAGCCCCGCCUUGGGCU